RNAcentral lists this ribosomal RNA (301 nucleotides) under uncultured bacterium. RNAcentral describes it as "partial 16S ribosomal RNA". It matches the Rfam family "Bacterial small subunit ribosomal RNA", at positions 509 to 807 of the family's 1533-position model. The record is from RNAcentral.
CAGUAGCCGCGGUAAUACGUAGGUGGCAAGCGUUGUCCGGAAUUAUUGGGCGUAAAGGGCUCGCAGGCGGUUUCUUAAGUCUGAUGUGAAAGCCCCCGGCUCAACCGGGGAGGGUCAUUGGAAACUGGGAAACUUGAGUGCAGAAGAGGAGAGUGGAAUUCCACGUGUAGCGGUGAACUGCGUAGAGAUGUGGAGGAACACCAGUGGCGAAGGCGACUCUCUGGUCUGUAACUGACGCUGAGGAGCGAAAGCGUGGGGAGCGAACAGGAUUAGAUACCCGAGUAGUCCCUGUCUCUUAUAC